RNAcentral lists this ribosomal RNA (303 nucleotides) under uncultured bacterium. Its description in RNAcentral is "partial 16S ribosomal RNA". It matches the Rfam family "Bacterial small subunit ribosomal RNA", at positions 507 to 808 of the family's 1533-position model. The record is from RNAcentral.
AGCAGCAGCCGCGGUAAAACGUAGGUCCCGAGCGUUGUCCGGAUUUAUUGGGCGUAAAGCGAGCGCAGGCGGUUAGAAAAGUCUGAAGUGAAAGGCAGUGGCUCAACCAUUGUAGGCUUUGGAAACUGUUUAACUUGAGUGCAGAAGGGGAGAGUGGAAUUCCAUGUGUAGCGGUGAAAUGCGUAGAUAUAUGGAGGAACACCGGUGGCGAAAGCGGCUCUCUGGUCUGUAACUGACGCUGAGGCUCGAAAGCGUGGGGAGCGAACAGGAUUAGAUACCCCAGUAGUCCCUGUCUCUUAUACA